UGGACAGUGACGUGACUACCUCUCCACCAAACAGGUACAGCAUGCACUGCAGCAAGGCACGCUUCCCUCUCACCACCCACUAAUGUGCCUCACCCCUGACCUCAGGAACCCCCUCCGGGGCAAGAGGGGGGUCAACAGGACAGAUUGAUUUCAACCACUGGUUUCA
RNAcentral lists this small RNA (166 nucleotides) under Gopherus agassizii (Agassiz's desert tortoise). RNAcentral's name for it is "TUC338 (ENSGAGG00000002862.1)". The record is from RNAcentral. Lineage: Eukaryota; Metazoa; Chordata; Testudines; Testudinidae.